Molecule: ribosomal RNA, 808 nt
Filed under: uncultured bacterium
Lineage: Bacteria
Description: bacterial SSU rRNA
Rfam family: Bacterial small subunit ribosomal RNA
Source: RNAcentral
CCUAUGAAGGAGAUUUCGGUCAACGGAAUAGGUUGCUUAGUGGCGGACGGGUGAGUAACGCGUGAGGAACCUGCCUUUCAGAGGGGGACAACAGUUGGAAACGACUGCUAAUACCGCAUAACACAUAGGUGUCGCAUGGCAUUUAUGUCAAAGAUUUAUCGCUGAAAGAUGGCCUCGCGUCUGAUUAGCUAGUUGGUGAGGUAACGGCUCACCAAGGCGACGAUCAGUAGCCGGACUGAGAGGUUGGCCGGCCACAUUGGGACUGAGAUACGGCCCAGACUCCUACGGGAGGCAGCAGUGGGGAAUAUUGGGCAAUGGGCGCAAGCCUGACCCAGCAACGCCGCGUGAAGGAAGAAGGCUUUCGGGUUGUAAACUUCUUUUGACAGGGAAGAGUAGAAGACGGUACCUGUCGAAUAAGCCACGGCUAACUACGUGCCAGCAGCCGCGGUAAUACGUAGGUGGCAAGCGUUGUCCGGAUUUACUGGGUGUAAAGGGCGUGUAGCCGGGUUGACAAGUCAGAUGUGAAAUCCUGCGGCUUAACCGCAGAACUGCAUUUGAAACUGUUGAUCUUGAGUACUGGAGAGGCAGACGGAAUUCCUAGUGUAGCGGUGAAAUGCGUAGAUAUUAGGAGGAACACCAGUGGCGAAGGCGGUCUGCUGGACAGCAACUGACGGUGAGGCGCGAAAGCGUGGGGAGCAAACAGGAUUAGAUACCCCGGUAGUCCACGCUGUAAACGAUGGAUACUAGGUGUGCGGGGACUGACCCCCUGCGUGCCGCAGCUAACGCAAUAAGUAUCCCACCUGGGGAG